RNAcentral lists this ribosomal RNA (253 nucleotides) under uncultured bacterium. RNAcentral's name for it is "partial 16S ribosomal RNA". It matches the Rfam family "Bacterial small subunit ribosomal RNA", at positions 524 to 776 of the family's 1533-position model. The record is from RNAcentral.
UACGGUGGGGGCAAGCGUUGUUCGGAAUUACUGGGCGUAAAGGGCUCGUAGGCGGCCAACUAGGUCAGACGUGAAAUCCCCAGGCUCAACCUGGGAACUGCGUCUGAUACUGGUUGGCUUGAAUCCGGGAGAGGGAUGCAGAAUUCCAGGUGUAGCGGUGAAAUGCGUAGAUAUCUGGAGGAAUACCGGUGGCGAAGGCGGCAUCCUGGACCGGCAUUGACGCUGAGGAGCGAAAGCCAGGGGAGCAAACGGG